Molecule: ribosomal RNA, 422 nt
Filed under: uncultured bacterium
Lineage: Bacteria
Description: partial 16S ribosomal RNA
Rfam family: Bacterial small subunit ribosomal RNA
Source: RNAcentral
AACCUUCGACAAUGGACGGAAGUCAGACGGAGCAACGCCGCGUGAGCGAAGAAGGAUUCCGGAUCGUAAAGCUCUGGUGUUAGGGAAGAACACGUACGGGAGUCACUGCCCGUACCUUGACGGUACCUUAUCAGAAAGCCACGGCUAACUACUUGCCAGCAGCCGCGGUAAUACGUAGGUGGCAAGCGUUGUCCGGAAUUAUUGGGCGUAAAGCGCGCGCAGGCGGUCCUUUAAGUCUGAUGUGAAAGCCCACGGCUCAACCGUGGAGGGUCAUUGGAAACUGGAGGACUUGAGUACAGAAGAGGAAAGCGGAAUUCCACGUGUAGCGGUGAAAUGCGUAGAGAUGUGGAGGAACACCAGUGGCGAAGGCGGCUUUCUGGUCUGUAACUGACGCUGAGGCGCGAAAGCGUGGGGAGCAAACA